UUGACAUCAUCAUACUUGAGAU
This 22-nucleotide microRNA is filed under the name Chrysemys picta bellii (western painted turtle). Its description in RNAcentral is "Cpi-Mir-1662_5p (mature (guide))". Lineage: Eukaryota; Metazoa; Chordata; Testudines; Emydidae. RNAcentral also lists the same sequence under 1 other name. The record is from RNAcentral.